RNAcentral lists this ribosomal RNA (484 nucleotides) under uncultured bacterium. RNAcentral describes it as "partial 16S ribosomal RNA". It matches the Rfam family "Bacterial small subunit ribosomal RNA", at positions 30 to 507 of the family's 1533-position model. The record is from RNAcentral.
AUUGAACGCUAGCGGGAUGCCUUACACAUGCAAGUCGAACGGCAGCGCGGACUACGGUCUGGCGGCGCGUGGCGAACGGGUGAGUAAUGUAUCGGAACGUGCCCAGUAGCGGGGGAUAACUACACGUACGCGUAACUAAUACCGCAUACGCCCUACGGGGGAAAGCCAGGGAUCGUAAGACCUUGCACUCUUGGCACCGCCGAGAUCGGAUUAGCUAGUUGGUGGGGUAACGGCUCACCCAGGCGACGAUCCGUAGCUGGUCUGAGAGGACGACCAGCCACACUGGAACUGAGACACGGUCCAGACUCCUACGGGAGGCAGCAGUGGGGAAUAUUGGACAAUGGGCGCAACCCUGAUCCAGCCAUCCCGCGUGUACGAUGAAGGCCUUCGGGUUGUAAAGCACUUUUGGCAGGAAAGAAGCGACGCGAGCUAAUACCCCGGGGAACUGACGGUACCUGCAGAAUAAGCACCGGCUAACUACGUG